Molecule: non-coding RNA, 45 nt
Filed under: Schistosoma haematobium
Lineage: Eukaryota; Metazoa; Platyhelminthes; Trematoda; Strigeidida; Schistosomatidae
Source: RNAcentral
AUUCAGCUGAAAAGCCCUAAAUAGGACGAAACGUGCAUCCUGAAU